RNAcentral lists this ribosomal RNA (506 nucleotides) under uncultured bacterium. RNAcentral describes it as "partial 16S ribosomal RNA". It matches the Rfam family "Bacterial small subunit ribosomal RNA", at positions 28 to 523 of the family's 1533-position model. The record is from RNAcentral.
GAUGAACGCUAGCUACAGGCUUAACACAUGCAAGUCGAGGGGUAACAAGAGAAAAGCUUGCUUUUCUUGUUGACGACCGGCGCACGGGUGAGUAACGCGUAUCCAACCUGCCUAUAACUAGGGAAUAACCUUGCGAAAGUAAGACUAAUACCCUAUGAUUUCCUUUGAUGGCAUCAGAUUAGGAAUAAAGAUUUAUCGGUUAUAGAUGGGGAUGCGUCUGAUUAGCUUGUUGGCGGGGUAACGGCCCACCAAGGCAACGAUCAGUAGGGGUUCUGAGAGGAAGGUCCCCCACAUUGGAACUGAGACACGGUCCAAACUCCUACGGGAGGCAGAAGUGAGGAAUAUUGGUCAAUGGGCGGAAGCCUGAACCAGCCAAGUAGCGUGCAGGAUGACGGCCCUAUGGGUUGUAAACUGCUUUUAUACAGGAAUAAAGUUAGCCACGUGUGGUUAUUUGUAGGUACUGUAUGAAUAAGGACCGGCUAAUUCCGUGCCAGCAGCCGCCGCCG